GUAUCACAAUACUAUUUGAAUGUUGGGGAGUUUGCAUUUUUGAGCUAACCAAGAGCCAAGAUCCAUGUUUUAAAGUGUCAAUAAUUCCAAUUUCACAAGAUAAAUGUUCGAGUUACAAGAUAGAGAAUAUGUUGACCUUACGAAAAUCCAAGACUGAGAUGUAUUGAUCUUUUUCCAUCAAAGGUAAAUAAUAGUUUAAUUACUUUAAAAUCUUCCAAGAUAUUUGAAUAUUGUGUAGGGUUCAUUCUAAAUUUCAUGUGGUUUUUUUGUCAUGCCAUUCACAAAUGGAGCUAUGCAAGAAGCCAGCAAAGUUCACGUCCGUAAAUCCUUUUUUCACGCUCAAAAUAAGGGCAACAUAGGGGAGAUUCAGACCGCGUGUACCACUUGAUUUUGUGAGAGAGUACUUCCACAAGAAACAGGUGACGUUACAGUUUGGGAAUAAAUCAUGGCGGGUAAAACUGGUUGGUGCUGUUCCAACAAAGCUGUCUCAAGGUUGGAGCCCAUUUGCAAAAGAAUGUAAGUUGCAACCUGGAAAUGUUUGCGUCUUUGAGUUAACAAACGAAGAAGAUUUAGUACUUGAUGUUCAUAUUUUUAGGGGACAAUCUAGAGAAUUCAUUUGAAGCCUUUAUUGUAAAAUUGCCCAUUCAUUUUAGUUUUUAAUCCUCAAACUUGUAUACAGAACCUGAACACGCUAUCAUGUUUGCAAUGCUAUUAUUAGGUUUGUGGACA
Vigna umbellata (rice bean) is the source of this 729-nucleotide non-coding RNA. The record is from RefSeq and is a predicted model, not a curated record. Lineage: Eukaryota; Viridiplantae; Streptophyta; Magnoliopsida; Fabales; Fabaceae.